GUAAAAAUUUACAGCAUAUUUUGGCAAUUAUUAUUUUUAAUUAAUAAAUCCCCCGAGAAAUUUUAUUAGUUAUCUCAUGCUUGUACUUAUAACGAAAUAGUUGGUUUUAAUCUCUGAAUCUUUAAACAAGAAAAUAAAUAGCAUCUGCGUACUCUCAUCUCGCCUUGCUUAAAUUCAUUUUCUCUUCUUGUCGUUCUGGGCACUUUUUGAAGUGUAACAUCAUUCACAGUAGGUUCUUUGCCUUGUAGAGGCAGAAGCAUAUCGACCUGGCCCCGGUAUUCAGUUGACUCAUACUGUCAAACCACACUGCCUAUUCAACCAUUAACAACCAGGGUCUGCUGUUGUGCUCAGGAAGAUUAUGCGGAAUCCAGAUUGCUCGUUCUGAUGAAGGAAAUGAUCAGUGAGACCAUUGAUGAAUAUUGACCUAUGGAUUAAGCUGGUGUGGAGCUUACAAAUUUACCAAUGGAGUCUUUUAUCACAGAAAAAUGUUCGGUGCGAAUCUUUUGAAGAAGCUGUUGCAGCUGGUGUUCCUAUGACAAACCUUUACUAUAUAAAAGAGCCCCCAAUGUUUGUGUAUAAAGGACCUAAAGGUACUUGGUUAAUACGCAAACUACGAAAGAGUUCGGGUUAGUGGUGUUUGGCCAAAUAACAAGGGGGAGUACGUGGUGGCUAUAAACCGACCUUGCGAAAUGGAACGCGAUCAGCACUUUGCCUCAGCGCUCGAAAUGUCCGGUUUUGCACAUGUUUGUCACUGUGCGAAGAUCGAGUACAAUAGAAAUGCAACAGCUAAAGAUACUUCAAAAAUUCUUCCUGGAUUUGCAACCGGGGAAACCGUGUGGCUUGAUGGAAGAUGGCACAAUACUAAACUUCAGCACAUUGAUGCAAAUGUCUGUGUUCCUGGGCCGUGUUGUUCGCCGGCGAUUGAAAGGGCAAAUAUAUCGACUUACACCCUGAGCGACGACGAAUCAUUUGCAACAACUGGUUCCACAGUGACCCUGUUGUCCACAAUUUUAUCGUCAGUAACGGCGACAACGCUCCAACAAGUGACCAGUGAUGUGCGAGAACCGGGUACGGAUUCGUCUCCGACUACAGAAGAGUAUGACGAUGAACCACUCAAUUUUUUACUAGUAUUCCCUCAACCAUAUCAACGACUAUUCCAGCCGGACACGGUUAUUCUUCUAUAAUCAGCUCCGUCAUGACUUUCCCGCUCCGCCAAAUAAGCGACCACAAUGAACCCUUGACGACACUAGUUACGGUGAUCAAUGCAACCAACAACAGUAACACAACUUUGGUAGUUCUUCUCAACGUUACCACUGGUCCCAGUGAUGCUGCAUCAAUCAGCGUAACCAAUAAUAGUUUGGCCGAUGGUGACCCUGCAGUUUUUAAUUUACGUAAUAAGGAAACAACGGGUUAUAUCCAAAGGAUUGUCACAACAGUUAAGCGGAAAUUACCGCCUUGGCAGACUGAUGAGCCGCUGCGGGAUCAUGAAGUUCCGAUCACCGUUUCGCUUCUUCUUGUAACCACUCCCAACAUACCAGCUGCCAACAGUUCGAAUGUAUUGUCUCCCACGCCUCCGGCGACAUUUGUGAGAGACGCUGAGAAACCUGAUACGGGAUCGGUGGCUGCGGGCGCCAGUGCGGUUACCAAUAAACAAACUGCUGUGACAGACAACGUCAGACAUUUGGCCGAAACUCCUCCCCCACCAGAAACAUCCGGCAAUGGCAUGCUGAUUGGAAUUAUCGUGGCUGUAGCUUUACUCUUUCUCUUUUGCAUCAUUUUCGCCAUUUGGAGGAAGAAGCGCAAUGGUUGAUGACUUAAAAUGCAGUUUCUGCUAGGCAGUGAAUUUCCACUUUUCUGUUUGUUUGUUAGUGCUAUGAUUUUUGUUAUGUGUUCACUUUGCUAAAUCUUGUCGUUGCGUUAUUGUUCAUAUCGUCCGGUCGGGUUCUGUAAAAUGUCAGAUCAUUCUUUGAAGCAAACUAGCUUCCGUGAUUGCUGCGAGUGCUUCAGGGUUUCUGUUGUCUGUUGGUAUCAUAAAUUUGAUACUUACAUCAAG
Molecule: long non-coding RNA, 2053 nt
Organism: Paramacrobiotus metropolitanus
Lineage: Eukaryota; Metazoa; Tardigrada; Eutardigrada; Parachela; Macrobiotidae
Exons: 5
Source: RefSeq, a predicted model, not a curated record